UCUGGUGAUUUAAGCGCCGGGGUCACACCUGAUCCCAUCCCGAACUCAGCAGUUAAGCCCGGCAGCGCUGAUGAUACUACGGUGCAACCGUGGGGAAAGUAGGCCAUCGCCAGUU
This 115-nucleotide ribosomal RNA is filed under the name Patescibacteria group bacterium. The record is from RNAcentral.